Molecule: ribosomal RNA, 503 nt
Filed under: uncultured bacterium
Lineage: Bacteria
Description: partial 16S ribosomal RNA
Rfam family: Bacterial small subunit ribosomal RNA
Source: RNAcentral
AUUGAACGCUGGCGGCAGGCUUAACACAUGCAAGUCGAGCGGGGUGAUGGUGCUUGCACUAUCACUUAGCGGCGGACGGGUGAGUAAUGCUUAGGAAUCUGCCUAUUAGUGGGGGACAACAUCUCGAAAGGGAUGCUAAUACCGCAUACGUCCUACGGGAGAAAGCAGGGGAUCACUUGUGACCUUGCGCUAAUAGAUGAGCCUAAGUCGGAUUAGCUAGUUGGUGGGGUAAAGGCCUACCAAGGCGACGAUCUGUAGCGGGUCUGAGAGGAUGAUCCGCCGCACUGGGACUGAGACACGGCCCAGACUCCUACGGGAGGCAGUAGUGGGGAAUAUUGGACAAUGGGGGGAACCCUGAUCCAGCCAUGCCGCGUGUGUGAAGAAGGCCUUAUGGUUGUAAAGCACUUUAAGCGAGGAGGAGGCUCUUUUGGUUAAUACCCAAGAUGAGUGGACGUUACUCGCAGAAUAAGCACCGGCUAACUCUGUGCCAGCAGCCGCCGUAA